Molecule: ribosomal RNA, 372 nt
Filed under: uncultured organism
Description: bacterial SSU rRNA
Rfam family: Bacterial small subunit ribosomal RNA
Source: RNAcentral
CGUAGGGUGCGAGCGUUAAUCGGAAUUACUGGGCGUAAAGCGUGCGCAGGCGGUUUUGUAAGACAGGCGUGAAAUCCCCGGGCUCAACCUGGGAACUGCGCUUGUGACUGCAAGGCUAGAGUACGGCAGAGGGGGGUGGAAUUCCACGUGUAGCAGUGAAAUGCGUAGAGAUGUGGAGGAACACCAAUGGCGAAGGCAGCCCCCUGGGUCGAUACUGACGCCCAUGCACGAAAGCGUGGGUAGCAAACAGGAUUAGAUACCCUGGUAGUCCACGCCCUAAACGAUGUCAACUAGGUGUUGGGUGGGUAAAACCAUUUAGUACCGGAGCUAACGCGUGAAGUUGACCGCCUGGGGAGUACGGCCGCAAGGUUA